Molecule: non-coding RNA, 24 nt
Filed under: Cricetulus griseus (Chinese hamster)
Lineage: Eukaryota; Metazoa; Chordata; Mammalia; Rodentia; Cricetidae
Source: RNAcentral
CAUUCUAAAAUCGUUUCCCUAAGC